This 465-nucleotide ribosomal RNA is filed under the name uncultured bacterium. Its description in RNAcentral is "partial 16S ribosomal RNA". It matches the Rfam family "Bacterial small subunit ribosomal RNA", at positions 28 to 507 of the family's 1533-position model. The record is from RNAcentral.
GACGAACGCUGGCGGCGUGCUUAACACAUGCAAGUCGAACGGUGAACUCCGCUUGCGGGGGGAUCAGUGGCGAACGGGUGAGUAACACGUGGGCAACCUGCCCUCAGCUCUGGGAUAACUCCAAGAAAUUGGGGCUAAUACCGGAUAUGACCGCUGACCGCAUGGUCUGGUGGUGGAAAGAUUUAUCGGCUGGGGAUGGGCCCGCGGCCUAUCAGCUUGUUGGUGGGGUAGUGGCCUACCAAGGCGACGACGGGUAGCCGGCCUGAGAGGGUGACCGGCCACACUGGGACUGAGACACGGCCCAGACUCCUACGGGAGGCAGCAGUGGGGAAUAUUGCGCAAUGGGCGAAAGCCUGACGCAGCGACGCCGCGUGGGGGAUGACGGCCUUCGGGUUGUAAACCUCUUUCAGCAGGGACGAGGCGAAAGUGACGGUACCUGCAGAAGAAGCACCGGCCAACUACGUG